This 65-nucleotide unclassified non-coding RNA is filed under the name Sorangium cellulosum So ce56. The record is from RNAcentral. Lineage: Bacteria; Pseudomonadati; Myxococcota; Polyangiales; Polyangiaceae.
GUCUCGGCCGCCCGCUCCGCGCCGAUCAGGCUAUCAGACGCGGCGCUGCUCCUCGACAGCGCGAC